UGGAUCAAUAAUGAGAGUAUGUCAAGAACCAAGGGUUAUGAUUAAUCUAAUUUCUUUCCCAUGUACGAUGGAUU
Molecule: small nucleolar RNA, 74 nt
Filed under: Vicugna pacos (alpaca)
Lineage: Eukaryota; Metazoa; Chordata; Mammalia; Artiodactyla; Camelidae
Description: Small nucleolar RNA SNORD112 (ENSVPAG00000017469.1)
Source: RNAcentral